CCUACGGGAGGCAGCAGUGGGGAAUAUUGCACAAUGGGGGAAACCCUGAUGCAGCGACGCCGCGUGAGUGAAGAAGGAUUUCGGUACGUAAAGCUCUAUCAGCAGGGAAGAAAAAAAGUCCUUUGGACUUUGGACGGUACCUGACCAAGAAGCCCCGGCUAACUACGUGCCAGCAGCCGCGGUAAUAAGUAGGGGGCAAGCGUUAUCCGGAUUUAAUGGGGGUAAAGGGAGCGUAGACGGCAGCACAAGCAUGGAGUGAAAUGCCGGGGCCCAACCCCGGAACUGCUUUGGAAACUGUGCAGCUGGAGUGCAGGAGAGGUAAGCGGAAUGCCUAGUGUAGCGGUGAAAUGCGUAGAUAUUAGGAGGAACACCAGUGGCGAAGGCGGCUUACUGGACUGUAACUGACGUUGAGGCUCGAAAGCGUGGGGAGCAAACAGGAUUAGAUACCCGAGUAGUC
This 457-nucleotide ribosomal RNA is filed under the name uncultured bacterium. Its description in RNAcentral is "partial 16S ribosomal RNA". It matches the Rfam family "Bacterial small subunit ribosomal RNA", at positions 338 to 795 of the family's 1533-position model. The record is from RNAcentral.